GUUUUCGUGCACGCUGCUCUCUGAUUGGAGAAUCCAAGGACAUCAUGGGGACGGCAGAUGAGCUUCUGGAGCUGAUGUUCUCCUGGAUGAAGCAGAGGGAGCUCUGUGCUAAGGAGCUAAAAAAGCUGGCCCGGGAGCUGGAGUCGCUGAGGGAGAAAUGUAACGCCGCGGACUGUGUAGGCAGUGUUUACUCCGUGGUGGGCUCGGCCUGUCUGCUCGGUGCAGGAGGGCUCACCCUGCUCACCGGUGGAGCUGCUGCUCCCCUUUUACUUACCGUGGGAUCGGUGGUAGGCGGCGCAGGAUUGACCCUCCAGGUGGGAAGCAAAUUGACCGAGGAGUUCUGCUCCAGCAGCACCAUGAAGGAAGCCGAGAGCCAGAAUCAAGAGAGCAGCACCAUCUCGGAGAAAAUCCAGGAGCUCUACCAGAAGCUAAAGAACGAGAGGAUGGAGACCAAACCGUCCGCCGAUCCCGACGAGCUUGAGCACCACGUCAUGGCGGAGAUUGUUACAGCCAUGGCGCGACGAAGAGGGCUGAAGAAACCCAUCAACCUGCGCUACCUUCACGGCUCCUUCUCUGUGGGACAACAUCGGAAAAUGCAGGUCCUUACUCAUACUCUGGCCAUCACCUACGCCGGAGUGUUGGCCUUCUUCUCCCUCAAAACUGGAGGGAAGAAAUUUGAAAUUCUCCUGGCAGAAGGAGCAAGAAGACUCGCCAUGAAAAUGUCUUCAGUCGGACUCAAGGCAGUCAUGAAGGGAGGAGCCUUGGCGGUGGGGGCUGCCGUGGGAAUGGUGUUUGCGCUAAAAGAAGCGAUCGACAGCUGGACCGAGCUAAUCGAGAAGAACCAUGUGACUGAGGCCAGCCAAUCCCUGAGGGACACAGCAGACACAUUGGAUAAGAUGAACAGAAUGCUGGGAGAGCAGCUGGAACAGAUUCAGGAGGUUUUAGAGGAGAUGGUAGACAACAAUGAAGAAGAGGAUGAUGAAGAGAAUGAAAAGGAAGAAGAAAACGAACAAGAGGAGGACGAAGAAGAGAGCGAGUCAGGUGAAAGAGACCAGGAGCACGAAGAUGAGGAUGAAAAUGAGGAAGAUACCGAGGAUGAUGAGAGAAACGAAGAUGAGGAUGAAAAUGAGGAGAGCGACGAAAAUGAGGAAGAUACCGAGGAUGAUGAGAGCAACGAAGAGAAGGAUGAUGAAGAGAGCAGUGAUGUAAAUGCUACGCCUGUAAAGGUUGGCCUUCAGAACGUGUGCUCGGCGAAGCAUAAGAUGUCUAAGAUCGGAAACCUGAUCACACAGAAUGGCCUUGACGCGUUGCUGACGUGUGAGACGUGGCUACAGAGAGACAACGAAGACGCAGUUCUUCAGCAAAACCUACCGGAAGGCUUUGACUACUACCACCGGCCAAGGGGGCGGCGUGGAGGCGGCGUGGGCGUGCACUUCCAUAGGGGACUGAUGCACGAGUGGCUGACCCACCGACAUCAGUUCCACAUCACCACCUUUGAGUUCAUGGGCAUCCUGCUAACUCACCCGCAGUGGAACGAGCCGGUCCUUGUCAUCAACGUGUACCGCCGUCCAGGCGGGAACCUGGUCCAGUUCGACGAAUUUAUGCGGGACUUCCAGAUGUUGCUGGAUGCGGUUUAUGAAGAGCACCCUUCCAUCGUCCUUGUCGGGGACUUCAACAUCUGGGUGGAUGACGAACGGAGAACCAGGACCAGACGCUUCCUGGACUUCCUGGGGGGUUAUGGCUUCAAUCAGUACGUUGAAGGUUCGACACAGCGCUACGGACACACCCUGGACCUCGUCAUUGGCAGAAACGUUGAAAUCCCAGAGCCAUCGAUUUGGAACCACCACAUCUCCGAUCAUUUCACCGUCAUCUUCACUAUCAGGCCAAUACCGAGAAAAAGGAAGGGGCCGAAAAAAAGACAAAGCAAACGGCUCCAAAAGUAA
This 1943-nucleotide long non-coding RNA is filed under the name Gouania willdenowi (blunt-snouted clingfish). Its description in RNAcentral is "lncRNA (ENSGWIG00000011209.1)". The record is from RNAcentral. Lineage: Eukaryota; Metazoa; Chordata; Actinopteri; Blenniiformes; Gobiesocidae.